GACAGAGGGUGCAAACGUUGUUCGGAAUUACUGGGCGUAAAGCGCGUGUAGGCGGCCAAGCAGGUCGGAUGUGAAAUCCCUCGGCUCAACCAAGGAAGUGCAUUCGAAACCGCAUGGCUGGAGUCCCGGAGAGGAAGGUGGAAUUCUCGGUGUAGAGGUGAAAUUCGUAGAUAUCGAGAGGAACACCGGCGGCGAAAGCGGCCUUCUGGACGAGGACUGACGCUGAGACGCGAAAGCGUGGGGAGCAAACAGG
RNAcentral lists this ribosomal RNA (253 nucleotides) under uncultured bacterium. RNAcentral's name for it is "partial 16S ribosomal RNA". It matches the Rfam family "Bacterial small subunit ribosomal RNA", at positions 524 to 776 of the family's 1533-position model. The record is from RNAcentral.